Molecule: non-coding RNA, 73 nt
Organism: Henosepilachna vigintioctopunctata
Lineage: Eukaryota; Metazoa; Arthropoda; Insecta; Coleoptera; Coccinellidae
Source: the annotation of a GenBank genome assembly
GAUUCCGUGGUGCAGUUGGUUAGCGCAUCGGCCUAUGGUGCCUAGGUCGUGGGUUCCAUCCCGGGCGGAAUUG